AGUGAACGCUGGCGGCAGGCCUAACACAUGCAAGUCGAGCGGCAGCGGGUCCCCGCGAGGGGAUGCCGGCGAGCGGCGGACGGGUGAGGAACACAUCGGAAUCUGCCUGGUUGUGGGGGAUAACGUAGGGAAACUUACGCUAAUACCGCAUGAGACCCUGAGUCGACGGACUGGGGGUGAAAGUGAGGGACCUUCGGGCCGUCACGCGACCAGAUGAGCCGAUGUCGGAUUAGCUAGUUGGCGGGGUAACGGCCCGCCAAGGCGACGAUCCGUAGCUGGUCUGAGAGGAUGAUCAGCCACACUGGGACUGAGACACGGCCCAGACUCCUACGGGAGGCAGCAGUGGGGAAUCUUGGACAAUGGGCGCAAGCCUGAUCCAGCGAUGCCGCGUGUGUGAAGAA
This 401-nucleotide ribosomal RNA is filed under the name uncultured bacterium. RNAcentral describes it as "bacterial SSU rRNA". It matches the Rfam family "Bacterial small subunit ribosomal RNA", at positions 30 to 412 of the family's 1533-position model. The record is from RNAcentral.